This 468-nucleotide ribosomal RNA is filed under the name uncultured bacterium. Its description in RNAcentral is "partial 16S ribosomal RNA". It matches the Rfam family "Bacterial small subunit ribosomal RNA", at positions 28 to 507 of the family's 1533-position model. The record is from RNAcentral.
GACGAACGCUGGCGGCGUGCUUAACACAUGCAAGUCGAACGGAAAGGCCCUGCUUUUGUGGGGUGCUCGAGUGGCGAACGGGUGAGUAACACGUGAGUAACCUGCCCUUGACUUUGGGAUAACUUCAGGAAACUGGGGCUACUACCGGAUAGGAGCUCCUGCUGCAUGGUGGGGGUUGGAAAGUUUCGGCGGUUGGGGAUGGACUCGCGGCUUAUCAGCUUGUUGGUGGGGUAGUGGCUUACCAAGGGUUUGACGGGUAGCCGGCCUGAGAAGGUGACCGGCCACAAUGGGACUGAGAUACGGACCAGACGCCAACGGGGGGCAGGAGGGGGGAAAAUUGCACAAUGGGCCGGAGCCGGAAGAAACAACGCCCGGGGCGGGAAGACGGCCUUCCGGGUGUAAAACGCUUUCGCCUGUGACGAAGCGGGAGUGACGGUAAUGGGUAAAGAAGCACCGGCUAACUACGUG